GUUUGGGGUCAUGGUAGCUCCUCAUUGGAGUGUGUGCGAAUUCUCCAAUGAGAAUCUCGCCCAAUGAUGAUUGGGUCUGCGUUACGAGCGAGAGACGACGUGCGUAGUUGAGACCGGUUUAGGUGGUAGGCCUAUGUUGGGAUGGCGACCUUCGGUCCGCCCAUGGAAACCGAGGUAAGCGGUUUAGCCGAUAACUCUGUUAGUGAGUUCGACUUAGGUUUACGAACAGAGUGUUCGUGUGAGUUCGUUGUAGGAACGAAUUCGAAGUCGAGUUAAUCGUGGCUUAUGAUGGCAAGGGAUGAAGUGCUCUUGUGAGACAUU
RNAcentral lists this long non-coding RNA (321 nucleotides) under Ananas comosus (pineapple). Its description in RNAcentral is "long non-coding RNA (ACOM_LNC035807)". The record is from RNAcentral. Lineage: Eukaryota; Viridiplantae; Streptophyta; Magnoliopsida; Poales; Bromeliaceae.